UCCCAGUUGACUCAGUGAUAAAGGAUCUGCCUGCAAUGCAGGAGACUCAGGUUUGAUCCCUGGGUUGGGAA
Molecule: transfer RNA, 71 nt
Filed under: Bos taurus (domestic cattle)
Lineage: Eukaryota; Metazoa; Chordata; Mammalia; Artiodactyla; Bovidae
Also listed under: 2 other names
Rfam family: tRNA
About the family: Transfer RNA (tRNA) molecules are approximately 80 nucleotides in length. Their secondary structure includes four short double-helical elements and three loops (D, anti-codon, and T loops).
Source: Rfam by way of RNAcentral